RNAcentral lists this ribosomal RNA (232 nucleotides) under uncultured bacterium. RNAcentral describes it as "partial 16S ribosomal RNA". It matches the Rfam family "Bacterial small subunit ribosomal RNA", at positions 15 to 244 of the family's 1533-position model. The record is from RNAcentral.
GAUCAUGGCUCAGGACGAACGCUGGCGGCGUGCCUAAUACAUGCAAGUAGAACGCUGAAGGAGGAGCUUGCUUCUCUGGAUGAGUUGCGAACGGGUGAGUAACGCGUAGGUAACCUGCCUGGUAGCGGGGGAUAACAGUUGGAAACGGCUGCUAAUACCGCAUAAGCGCACAGUACCGCAUGGUACAGUGUGAAAAACUCCGGUGGUAUGAGAUGGACCCGCGUCUGAUUAG